This 651-nucleotide long non-coding RNA is filed under the name Rattus norvegicus (Norway rat). RNAcentral's name for it is "long non-coding RNA NONRATT026981". The record is from RNAcentral. Lineage: Eukaryota; Metazoa; Chordata; Mammalia; Rodentia; Muridae.
GAGAGGCUCGAACCAUGAAUAUCUCAUGUCGCCAUCAUGCAGCUAUGCCUUGCUAACCUACUUUAACUAAACAGCUUAUAUUAUUCAUAAAAGACACAUAGGAAAUAGACACAGUUUGUACAUACAAUACAAUAAAUGUAUGCAUUUGAAAAUGUACAUUGAUUUUGGAUGGUGAAAAUAGGUGCUAUGGUUUGCCUCCAGAUGUCUAUGUGUUGAAACUUUGAUUGUCAGUGUGGCAAUGUUAAGAGGUGGUAGACCUUUUAAGAAACAGGGCCAGUGAGAUAUCCUUACAUCUGAGAGAACUUCCCUCAGUAUAAAUGGUCAGUCCCUCAAUCUGUCUCUGGCUUUCUGUCCAGCUAUAUGAUCACUUCCUCCCAUAUCCACCAUGUGACGUGAUGCUAUCCCUUUUCAUCACUCAGUAUUCUGCCUUGGAUAUUUUAUUAUAGUAACAGGAAAUAGGCUAAGAGGAAGGCAGACAUUGAUGGGAAAUGAGCAGGGAGAGCCAUUCCUUGGAUUAUGAAUUCUUCUUUUGUACAAUUUUCCUUACUAGGUUUUUUGUUUUAAUUUCUGGGGAAUAAUGGUCAUCUUUUAUUUAUGUUGUGAUGAAAAUAUGAUAAGUAAAAUUUCUUUAAGUUCAAAAUGAAGGAAAAA